This 468-nucleotide ribosomal RNA is filed under the name uncultured bacterium. RNAcentral's name for it is "partial 16S ribosomal RNA". It matches the Rfam family "Bacterial small subunit ribosomal RNA", at positions 28 to 507 of the family's 1533-position model. The record is from RNAcentral.
GACGAACGCUGGCGGCGUGCUUAACACAUGCAAGUCGAACGGAAAGGCCCUGCUUUUGUGGGGUGCUCGAGUGGCGAACGGGUGAGUAACACGUGAGUAACCUGCCCUUGACUUUGGGAUAACUUUAGGAAACUGGGGCUAAUACCGGAUAGGAGCUCCUGCUGCAUGGUGGGGGUUGGAAAGUUUCGGCGGUUGGGGAUGGACUCGCGGCUUAUCAGCUUCUUGGUGGGGUAGUGGCUUACCAAGGCUUUGACGGGUAGCCGGCCUGAGAGGGUGACCGGCCACAUUGGGACUACGAUACGGCCCAGACUCCUACGGGAGGCAGUGGUGGGGAAUAUUACACAAUGGGCGGAAGCCUGAUGCAGCAACGCCGCGUGCGGAAUGCCGGCCUUCGGGUUAUAAACCGCUUUCGCCUGUGACGAAGCGUGAGUGACGGUAAUGGGUAAGAAAGCACCGGCUAACUACGUG